This 3029-nucleotide unclassified non-coding RNA is filed under the name Acanthaster planci (crown-of-thorns starfish). RNAcentral's name for it is "transmembrane protein 254-like, transcript variant X12". Lineage: Eukaryota; Metazoa; Echinodermata; Asteroidea; Valvatida; Acanthasteridae. The record is from RNAcentral.
CCCAAGGUGCAUUUCGUCGUUGGUAUAGAUGUCUACGCAAGAGCUCAUUAAUACAUGCAUGUUGCGAUUCCAUGCCCCUACACCUACCAACAAAAGUUUCGCAUCUGCUUCCAUGUCAGAACCGACUCAGAGUCUGGGAAACAUCCAAACAAGACCAAUCGUUUCCGUCCCAACCGGCGUAAAUGCCAGACCCGUGCGAGUACCAGCUACUUCACCUUACCUAGCCUGCCUUGGAUGUUGAAUAUCUUGGGAUGGUUUUACGCUCUCGUCGGAGGCACAGCAUUUAUUCCCCACUUAGUACCAUUCGAAUACUUCGGACCAGGUGGGACGUGUAUGAGGCUGAUGCACACUUACUUCCCGAACUUUGCCAUCUCUGUGUUUGUGCCUGGGACUUUCGCGCACUUUCUUGAAGCACUGUACAGCUGGCGUCUGUGUGGAUCGAUUGGCAUCAAAGGCGGAGCCAAGAUUAAAUGGUUCCUGUCGACCACCAUAUUUGGAGGAGCAUCUUUGUAUGAGCUGGUCACAUUCCAGUCUCAACCAGACGUGCACGCGGAUUGAUAUGGGAGUCACUGGAGACAGUCGUAGCCGCACGAAAACAAAAUAGUUCCUGCAGUUUCAUCUUUAAAAAUUGUGAUCUCUAAGAGAUGAAAAUUUUGACGAAUCCUAAGGGGCCAACGAGUGCUGUCCUCUUAGAAAAAAGGAGAGAUUUAAACAGAUUUGAGCCGACGUUUGCAGAUCAAUGAAUUCACUUUGUAGAAAAUGUGAGCUCGAUAACAGGUCAAGUGAUAUUCAUGGUUGAAAUUGCUAAUGCGUGUAUUUGAAACAGCCUAUAUGAUCAACGGGAGUUGUUCGCAUUAUUGCCAACAGUACAACAUACUGUGCACCCAUGUAGAAUUGCAUUAACGUUUGAUACUACUUUUUAUCUUUGUUAACUGUGACUCUUUCUCUCACACGGUUCAGAUAAGGUUAAAAAAAUUAACUUGACCUUUGUUCUCUGUGUUUGGUUCUAUUCAGUCGGUAUAGUCAUAGCCGUUGCUCUAGUCAACUCUUACCCAGCCUGAAAUAAGUCUAGCUUGAUAACCGUUGCUAUGGUUCGUACGCUUUUUGAAACUAUUUCGUUGAGGUGUCUCUUCAUUCAGUCGUUUCUUCAUUUUCCCGCCAAGAUGCAAAAUUGGAACGCUAAUUAUUUCACUCUGCCUAGCCUGCCAUGGAUAAUCAACAUCAUUGCUUGGUUUUAUAUCGGCGUUACAGCACAGUCUUCAUCCCUCAUCUGGUGCCUUACCACUUGUUUGCUCCAGCAGGAACCUGGAUUAGACUAACCUACACCUAUUGCCCCUUCUUCGGGAAAUUUGCCUUGGUUGGUGGCACACUUGCACAUCUGGGGGAAGCAAUUUACGGAUGGCAUUUGUGCAGGAAGAAGGGUAUAGUGGGACGCGCUCAAGUCAAAUGGUUCGUGUCUAUCGCCAUCCUCGGAGGACCGUCUUUGUGCGAACUGAUCAUCUUUAAACCGCAUCUCGACAUGGACGCGAACUAACUCGUUCGGAAAAAAAUCCUGGAUGCUCUAAAAACUUUCUAAUGAAGGAUUUUUGAUUUUCAGUUCUAGUCCUCUUAACCUGUCGCUCUAUUUCAUGAAAGUAACGUAGGAUGAGUUUUGCUUUGCCAUAUAAUGGGGAAAUGAUAGAUGCAUGUGACUAUAAUAACAGGACCUUAACACCACCUCUUGCAAAGAUCUUUUCUCUGUGCUUAAAAAGGUUUAAUCAGUAGUGAAGUCGCACCCAGGGAAGAUGUCAGUUUGAAAAGCGAGAAUUUUUUUUAAAAGAAAAGACUGCGUUUCGUUUGUGCAGAGCACUUCAUAUGGAUUCAUGUUUCAUAAGGAGAAAAAAUACACCCGGGGAUUUAAUUUCUGCUUUGAGAUCACAAGCAAGGUUAAUGAACUUAGGUCAUCGUGUCAGAGCAAGAAAAGAAAAACUCUGCAAUUUCUCCGUGAUAAUUUGAUUGCGAACGAAUGAAAUCUGGUGAAAUGAUGUAUUUCAAGCUUUUUGUAAUUUGUCUCCCUUUUUCAGUGCUUCAGAAUGCAUUUUGCUUGUCUGUGAGUUGGAGAAAUGCCUUAAAAUUCGUGUUUUUCUUCUUACCACGAAAAAAAGUGCGAGUGUGGCAUGAUUGGCCCACCCCUCUGGUCAAAAAGUGUGCGGGUGGGUGUGUGUGUGAAGGGGGGAGGAGAUAUGUCUUGGGAUUUAGGCGCCUGCAUUUUAUUACUGAUAACAUUUACAUAUUCCAUAAUGGCUCUUUGAUGAUCAUCUCUGGACAAGAGAGUUUUCUGUUGCAACAGAAAAAACUUUUUUCCAGAUGAGACCACAGUGACCUUGCUCGUGUCAAUGUCACAAGAAGGAAUAUGUUUCACAGCCUUUUUAAUAAGUAAGCAGACCAUUUAAUAAAAUUAGGAUAGAUGUUUAAAACAAAGCUGUUGGCUUUUUUUGUUGAAAUGCUGGCAGCGUUUAGCUGACAAGGCAUGAAAUGCAGCUUUGACAAAAUAAUGAGCGUACGAAAAAUUUGACUGAAGAAAUCUUUGAGGAUUUAAUGUUUGCAUACCUUCAAACUGCGCGGAGAUAUAACAAAUGUACAAAGAACUCCAUACAAUGGCUCCGUUUGUUAGAUUAUACCGAAACAAACCGGCUGUUGAAAGGUUAUCAGAGGGAACUGGGAACAAUAGUCAUAUCUGCAAUACGUGGUGACGGUUUAACCGAAGGCAUAUCGGCAAUUGGUGGGAACGAACAUGAGUACACAAAAUGACCACAUGAUCUUGAUAUACCGGAUGUGAUCGACGAUACACCACCACAUCACGGUGGCGGAACACCGCACUGGCUGAUCACACCCGCAGCUGUAGACGAGUUGAACCAGACGGUUUCAGCAAAAAUUCAACUACAAACAGAAUUACAUCCACAGAGCUAACAAAAUGCAGUUUCGUAAUCGGAGCUAUUUUCGGCUACCCAGCAUACCUUGGAUGGUGAUUGUCUUUUCUUCUUUCGGCA